UACGAAGGGGGCUAGCGUUGCUCGGAAUCACUGGGCGUAAAGCGCGUGUAGGCGGCAGUGCAAGUCGGGUGUGAAAGCCCUCAGCUCAACUGAGGAAGUGCGCCCGAAACUGCAUUGCUUGAGUACCGGAGAGGAUGGUGGAAUUCCCGAAGUAGAGGUGAAAUUCGUAGAUAUCGGGAGGAACACCGGUGGCGAAGGCGACCAUCUGGACGGAUACUGACGCUGAGACGCGAAAGCGUGGGUAGCAAACAGG
RNAcentral lists this ribosomal RNA (253 nucleotides) under uncultured bacterium. RNAcentral describes it as "partial 16S ribosomal RNA". It matches the Rfam family "Bacterial small subunit ribosomal RNA", at positions 524 to 776 of the family's 1533-position model. The record is from RNAcentral.